GAGGCAAGGGCGUCGCGAGCUAGAGCCCUACCCAACGAGUCGCCGUGUUAGAGGAUCACCGGCCGCAGGUAGUAGUGUUUUGUUAUUUUGAGGUUAUGUACAUACUGAUGCUGGAACUCGCUGGAGCGAGUACUUUUGUACUUGUUACUUUGUAUGUAUAUGAGAUUUGUUUGUUCUACCUGCUUAGUUUCUUUACAGCUCUAUACUACUGGUUGUAGUAUUGUAUGUUUUACAGUUACCGUUAUGCUUCGUAUACAAGAAAAAUUCUUUGUAUAUGGCGGAUUUGUCGGCGUGUUCGGGGAACGUGUAAUCCGAGGCGUGACAUUAACAGUUGAAUAAUAGAGAGAAAAAAUAUAAUUUGUUGAUCAAAUUCCUAUGCGUCAAGGAUGGGAGGGAAUAUUUAGCAGGUAAACGAAUUAUUUUAUUUAAAAUUAGUUUGGUAAUUAAACAAUACAAAAUUUAAAGAAAUUUUAAUUGAAGUUUUAAAUUUACGCAUUAAUUUACACAAAUUUAGAAAAUUAAUUG
RNAcentral lists this long non-coding RNA (525 nucleotides) under Ananas comosus (pineapple). RNAcentral describes it as "long non-coding RNA (ACOM_LNC023454)". Lineage: Eukaryota; Viridiplantae; Streptophyta; Magnoliopsida; Poales; Bromeliaceae. The record is from RNAcentral.